Molecule: ribosomal RNA, 605 nt
Filed under: uncultured Burkholderia sp.
Lineage: Bacteria; Pseudomonadati; Pseudomonadota; Betaproteobacteria; Burkholderiales; Burkholderiaceae
Description: bacterial SSU rRNA
Rfam family: Bacterial small subunit ribosomal RNA
Source: RNAcentral
UGCAGUCGAACGGCAGCACGGGGGCAACCCUGGUGGCGAGUGGCGAACGGAUGAGUAAUACAUCGGAACGUGUCCUGUAGUGGGGGAUAGCCCGGCGAAAGCCGGAUUAAUACCGCAUACGCUCUGCGGAGGAAAGCGGGGGAUCCUUCGGGACCUCGCGCUACAGGGGUGGCCGAUGGCAGAUUAGCUAGUUGGUGGGGUAAAGGCCUACCAAGGCGACGAUCUGUAGCUGGUCUGAGAGGACGACCAGCCACACUGGGACUGAGACACGGCCCAGACUCCUACGGGAGGCAGCAGUGGGGAAUUUUGGACAAUGGGGGAAACCCUGAUCCAGCAAUGCCGCGUGUGUGAAGAAGGCCUUCGGGUUGUAAAGCACUUUUGUCCGGAAAGAAAACCUCUGUCCUAAUACGGUGGGGGGAUGACGGUACCGGAAGAAUAAGCACCGGCUAACUACGUGCCAGCAGCCGCGGUAAUACGUAGGGUGCAAGCGUUAAUCGGAAUUACUGGGCGUAAAGCGUGCGCAGGCGGUCCGCUAAGACAGAUGUGAAAUCCCCGGGCUUAACCUGGGAACUGCAUUUGUGACUGGCGGCCUAGAGUAUGGCAGA